UGUACUUAUUCUUUUUUCCGUUUUUUUGGGCCGAGUGAUGCUCAAAACUUUGAGAUUUAUUUUUAAUUUUGAUUGCAACAGUUCAACCGAAGUUUACUGGGAAUAAGUAGGUAAUCAGGGUUGCAAUUUUUCAUGGAAAAUAAAAUUUUGAAAUUUUACCUGAAUUACCUCAUGAAAUUUCAGAGAAAUAUGUAUGAUACAUAUUGAAAAAUAUUUUUCAAAAUUACUUAGAAAUUUAAAAAUAGACGAGAAGCAUAGGUUCGUUGCUUGUUGUGGUUUUUAGUGCGUGUUGCAUACUCAGCCCCUUAAUAUGUAUCUCAAGUUUUUCAAAUUUCACACAACUUUAUGCAAUUUCAUGAAAUAUACUCAUUCAUAGAAAUUUCAAAUCUUUCAUAUCUUCCCAUGCACUUGGACAACAGUAUACACAAGGGAAAGGCAGAUAUUUGAAUGACGCGCCAACUAGCAAACAGGUCACAUGAUCUGAUGACGUGUUUCCCCCACUUCGCUCUUCGCGCUUGCAUUCUAACCUGUAACGGUCUUCUCGCCUCGCCUCCUGUACAGUGAACUGUGAAGUGAAAAAAUCGUUUUAAACUUUAAAGUAUGUACCUGCAAUCAACUGGAAUCUAAUUUUCAACUUGCUGAAGUCGAAACACUGAGAGCGUCAAUAUCUACGAUAAAUGGUCUCAAUAUCCAGGCCCAUCCGACUAUAACAACUUGCCCUGUCUACUACUCACGGGCCGUCUGUCUCCUGUCUUGUUUGCAAUUUUUUAACUAUUUAAAAAGCCCUGGACAGGGGAUUAACGGCAAUUUCUCAGCAUCAAUUUUUCACACAAUUCACAAAAUCAAAUUCACAACUCACUCUCACAUUAGUGUAGGUCACAUAUCGUAUUGUUCGCUCCGUUAAGUGAAUCUCAAGUGUUCAUUUUUUUCCCUUCCUCCUUCAGUGCUGUGACAGCGAUACAGCCAAUUUUACCAGGGAAGGCAGCUGCUUAUAUUAAAUCUUUUCAGAAUACUUAAUGAGAAUCAGAUUAUGCUCCGCUGAGCAGCUUCUUUCUGAUCAAAAAUUUGAUUACAGAGAGUCUUUUUCCUUGUCAAAGGAACACUUAUGGAGCAACACCAGUCUGGUCAACUAGGGACAUGAUACAUACAGAUGCUGAUUUGCAGUUUUACUGAUCAUCAGCUAUGUUUGGACAGUGUCACUUUCCUCCGCCCAACUCUGAUAGGGACCAGAACUGGCUAAACUCAGCUGAUGAGUCAAAAUUACUCUGCUGCAUUGUAGUUGCCUAAUCCCUUGUAAUUUUAAGAAAUGUUGCUACAUGAAUUUUCCUCUUUGAAGGACAAUUUCAAAUCAUAAUUAAUAUUUUUCUUGCGAUUGAAGGAAGCUGCUCUGCAGGACUGAAAUACACUAAGACCAGUAUAGAAUGCCCUCAGCAGUAAGUUUUGUCUUUGUAUGCCUACCUUUUUACAUGAACAAAUAUAUGCAGGCUGUUCGACUUUAUAAGUUUCUAUUAUGUGUUUUUUACUCUUGUAUGGACUUAGGUACUUAGUCAACUGUUCUGCGUAUGUCUUUACAUGCACAAAUAUGUUCAAGUUGUCAGAUUUUAUAAAUUUAUGUUAUGCUUUUUUUUUUACUCAUAUGUAUGGACUGAAAUAGUGAAUUGUUCUUUUUCCCCAAUAAAAAAUGAAUCAAAUACCUAAUAAUGAAAUACUUAGAACACUUUUCUCUUCAGAUUUUUCUUGAAAUUUUUACUGGGGCAUGAAGUAUUAGGUAGGUUGUGUAAA
RNAcentral lists this long non-coding RNA (1782 nucleotides) under Bemisia tabaci. Its description in RNAcentral is "lncRNA ENSSSA3NGG008924". The record is from RNAcentral. Lineage: Eukaryota; Metazoa; Arthropoda; Insecta; Hemiptera; Aleyrodidae.